Molecule: ribosomal RNA, 468 nt
Filed under: uncultured bacterium
Lineage: Bacteria
Description: partial 16S ribosomal RNA
Rfam family: Bacterial small subunit ribosomal RNA
Source: RNAcentral
GAUGAACGCUGGCGGCGUGCUUAACACAUGCAAGUCGAACGGAAAGGCCCAAGCUUGCUUGGGUACUCGAGUGGCGAACGGGUGAGUAACACGUGGGUGAUCUGCCCUGCACUUCGGGAUAAGCCUGGGAAACUGGGUCUAAUACCGGAUAGGACGAUGGUUUGGAUGCCAUUGUGGAAAGUUUUUUCGGUGUGGGAUGAGCUCGCGGCCUAUCAGCUUGUUGGUGGGGUAAUGGCCUACCAAGGCGUCGACGGGUAGCUGGCCUGAGAGGGUGUACGGCCACAUUGGGACUGAGAUACGGCCCAGACUCCUACGGGAGGCAGCAGUGGGGAAUAUUGCACAAUGGGCGCAAGCCUGAUGCAGCGACGCCGUGUGGGGGAUGACGGCCUUCGGGUUGUAAACUCCUUUCGCUAGGGACGAAGCGUUUUUGUGACGGUACCUGGAGAAGAAGCACCGGCUAACUACGUG